Molecule: ribosomal RNA, 450 nt
Filed under: uncultured Glomeromycotina
Lineage: Eukaryota; Fungi; Glomeromycota
Description: SSU rRNA
Rfam family: Eukaryotic small subunit ribosomal RNA
Source: RNAcentral
AGCAGCCGCGGUAAUUCCAGCUCCAAUAGCGUAUAUUAAAGUUGUUGCAGUUAAAAAGCUCGUAGUUGAAUUUCGGGGUCAGCAGGUUGGUCGUGCCUCUGGUACGCACUGGUUUCGCUGAUUCCUCCUUUCUGAAGAACUGUAAUGUCAUUAAUUUGGUGUUGCAGGGAAACAGGACUGUUACUUUGAAAAAAUUAGAGUGUUUAAAGCAAGCUAACGCUUGAAUACAUUAGCAUGGAAUAAUGAAAUAGGACGUUUGAUCCUAUUUUGUUGGUUUCUAGGAUUGACGUAAUGAUUAAUAGGGAUAGUUGGGGGCAUUAGUAUUCAAUUGUCAGAGGUGAAAUUCUUGGAUUUAUUGAAGACUAACUACUGCGAAAGCAUUUGCCAAGGAUGUUUUCAUUAAUCAAGAACGAAAGUUAGGGGAUCGAAGACGAUCAGAUACCGUCGUAG